This 245-nucleotide unclassified non-coding RNA is filed under the name fungal sp. RNAcentral describes it as "partial internal transcribed spacer region". The stretch from base 1 to 46 matches the Rfam family "Eukaryotic small subunit ribosomal RNA", at positions 1786 to 1831 of the family's 1831-position model. The record is from RNAcentral. Lineage: Eukaryota; Fungi.
AAGUCGUAACAAGGUCUCCGUAGAUGAACCUGCGGAGGGAUCAUUAAGAUGCGUCCAGCCUCUGCGCGUGGCGGCCCACCAGCCGCCGCACGCAUGCCUUGCAUCCUCGAUAUUACAGCACCUUGCGUUCUCCUUCGGCGGGUCAGCCCGCCGUCGGAACCAAAACACCCACCUUUUGCAUGCAGCAAUAACCGUUCCGAAACAAACAAUCGUUACAACUUUCAACAAUGGAUCUCUUGGCUCUG